RNAcentral lists this ribosomal RNA (484 nucleotides) under uncultured bacterium. RNAcentral describes it as "partial 16S ribosomal RNA". It matches the Rfam family "Bacterial small subunit ribosomal RNA", at positions 30 to 507 of the family's 1533-position model. The record is from RNAcentral.
AUUGAACGCUGGCGGCAGGCCUAACACAUGCAAGUCGAGCGGAUGAAGGGAGCUUGCUCCUGGAUUCAGCGGCGGACGGGUGAGUAAUGCCUAGGAAUCUGCCUGGUAGUGGGGGAUAACGUCCGGAAACGGGCGCUAAUACCGCAUACGUCCUGAGGGAGAAAGUGGGGGAUCUUCGGACCUCACGCUAUCAGAUGAGCCUAGGUCGGAUUAGCUAGUUGGUGGGGUAAAGGCCUACCAGGGCGACGAUCCGUAACCGGUCUGAGAGGAUGAUCAGUCACACUGGAACUGAGACACGGUCCAGACUCCUACGGGAGGCAGCAGUGGGGAAUAUUGGACAAUGGGCGAAAGCCUGAUCCAGCCAUGCCGCGUGUGUGAAGAAGGUCUUCGGAUUGUAAAGCACUUUAAGUUGGGAGGAAGGGCAGUAAGUUAAUACCUUGCUGUUUUGACGUUACCAACAGAAUAAGCACCGGCUAACUUCGUG